RNAcentral lists this ribosomal RNA (438 nucleotides) under uncultured bacterium. RNAcentral's name for it is "partial 16S ribosomal RNA". It matches the Rfam family "Bacterial small subunit ribosomal RNA", at positions 338 to 793 of the family's 1533-position model. The record is from RNAcentral.
CCUACGGGAGGCAGCAGUGGGGGAUAUUGCACAAUGGGCGAAACCCUGAUGCAGCGACGCCGCGUGUGGGAAGACGGUCCUCUGGAUUGUAAACCACUGUCCCCAGGGACGAAGAUGACGGUACCUGGGGAGGAAGCUCCGGCUAACUACGUGCCAGCAGCCGCGGUAAUACGUAGGGAGCGAGCGUUGUCCGAAAUUACUGGGUGUAACGGGAGCGUAGGCGGUACUGCAAGUUGGGUGUCAAAUCUACCGGCUCAACCGAUAGCCGCACGCAAAACUGCAGUUCUUGAGUGAAGUAGAGGCAGGCGGAACUCCUAGUAUAGCGGUGAAAUGCGUAGAUAUUAAGGGGAACACCAGUGGCGAAGGCGGCCUGCUGGGCUGUUACUGACGCUGAGGCUCGAAAGUGUGGGUAGCAAACAGGAUUAGAUACCGCAGUAG